UACAGAGCGGGCAAGCGUUGUUCGGAAUUGCUGGGCGUAAAGGGCGCGUAGGCGGCCUUCUAAGUCGAACGUGAAAUCCCUGGGCUCAACCCAGGAACUGCGUCCGAUACUGGAAGGCUUGAAUCCGGGAGAGGGAUGCGGAAUUCCAGGUGUAGCGGUGAAAUGCGUAGAUAUCUGGAGGAACACCGGUGGCGAAGGCGGCAUCCUGGACCGGUAUUGACGCUGAGGCGCGAAAGCCAGGGGAGCAAACAGG
RNAcentral lists this ribosomal RNA (253 nucleotides) under uncultured bacterium. RNAcentral describes it as "partial 16S ribosomal RNA". It matches the Rfam family "Bacterial small subunit ribosomal RNA", at positions 524 to 776 of the family's 1533-position model. The record is from RNAcentral.